Molecule: ribosomal RNA, 1287 nt
Filed under: Triticum aestivum (bread wheat)
Lineage: Eukaryota; Viridiplantae; Streptophyta; Magnoliopsida; Poales; Poaceae
Description: partial small subunit ribosomal RNA
Source: RNAcentral
AUGCUAUAUUUGCCAAAAAAACCUGGGAAAAAGAAAUGGCGUUGUACGGCCCGCUCUAUUGGCCCUGCUCAAUAUGUGAUGCGAUUCCCUAAUGCUAGUGAAGUAGAGAGGGCAUGUUGUUAUGGGAAACGCUUGCCUCUGAAGGAGGGGAAUAUUGUUGUCUGUAUUACUCCUUGGACUGCUUCUAUUGGAGCUAAAGGUAUUAUGGAAAAAGCAUGGGUUAGGGUGCGCAACAUUCCCAUAGAGAAAAGAUGCACUGAACAUAUAGCUUAUGCUGGAGCUCUAGUGGGGAUUACUUUAGAAGUUGAUGAAUCGACUGUUUAUAAACCUGAAUAUGCUAGAAUCCUUCUCGGUUGUAGAGAUGUUGAGAAAAUUCCCCCUUCAGCUGAAGGAAUGCUGGGAGAACAGUAUUAUGAUCUCUCCUAUGAAGUUGAAAAGGUUGUGGCUAUGGGCGCUGAGAAAAGUCAAACUUAUACUGCUAUGGAUAGCAGUGCAUCUCCUUCCUUCCCCAAGAAAGCGAGGAUGGACUCAUAUCCUGCUUCUUCCAUGGGGCAGGGGGAGACGAGUACAUCUAUGGCUGGCAAUUUCUCUUCUCAGAAUUAUGAUAAGGGUAUGCAGAGGCUUCCUGCAGUUGCUGAGAGUGAAGAAGAAGAAGAAAGUGAUGAAGGUAACAACACAGAGCUGCUGAUUGAGACUAUGGCCAGAGAACAUGCGGCUGAAAAAAUGUCUUAUUGUGGCUCUCAAUCUGGUAAAAUAUCGUGUGAGAAUGUCUCUGAGGAUCUGGAUGUGGAAGAGAUGACUGAAUCUCCCAGUAGUGAGAUCAGUGUACAUAAAGGUGCUUGGGGGAUGAUUACUCCGGUUCCACCCUCACCUUUGUUUGUAUGCCACGAUGUGAAUACUUAUGGGAAUGCUUUUCCUCCCUUGUCAGACUAUGUGGUUUGGCCUUCCCUGCCUCAUAUUGUGCCUCUCGAGGAGGGAUCCAUGGAAGGAGGGGAAAACUGUAGUGUCUAUACAGUUGAAUCUCCCUCUGGAUCACCAAUUCAUGACAGCAUGAGUCAAGAAGAGGAAGUCUCACGCAGACAGAAGCAGAAGCUGGAGAAGGUGGGAGAUGUGGCUACCAACAGAAUGAGGAAGCGUAAUUUGGAAGGUUUGCUAAAAGAAGAAGAAAGGGCGAAGCUCCAGGCUGGAGUGAAGAGGUUGGCUCACGCGGCUGCUGCACUGGCGGACAGAUCUCUUACUCGAGGCAGAUCCCUCUUGAGAGACAGAGAUGGGAUCCAGAUUGGUUAG